CGGGAGGCUGUGAGUUAGUGGUGGUGUUGUUGGAUUUCGCCUCCUGUGGACCUGGAGAGCUCGGUGUCCGCUGUGGUCAGACGGUGGAGCUGGUGGAGCGCUCGGCCGAACGGCCCGGGUGGUGUCUGGUCAGAACAACGGAUCAAACGCCCCAGCAGGAGGGUCUCCUGCCGAUGAGCGCCCUCUGUCUGUCCCACUCCCACAGUGCAGCCGACAUGGAGGGGCUCAUCCCGGCUUCUACCUCCUCCUCCGGCACCUCUUCCACGAGCACCACCACCUCCUCCUCCUUCAACUCCUCCUCCACCACCACCACCACCUCCUCCUCUAACGCUUCCAACUCCUCCUCCAAUGCUGGGAGAGACCCCGGCGUGUUCGGCUCCGACGGGCUUCAGACAUCCAGCCAAAGUGAGACCACUCCCCCGUUACUCACAUUUACCGACCGCGCUGACAGACAGUGAACUCACCGCCUCCUUUUGUCUCUCAGGUACCGCCUUCCCCGGAGUACCAUACGGAGUGGGCGGGGCCUCGGCGGGCGCCGUUGGCUCCCCGGGGCCGAAGCGCAGCGGCUCCGGGACCGGAAACACCCUGAAG
RNAcentral lists this long non-coding RNA (591 nucleotides) under Cyclopterus lumpus (lumpfish). RNAcentral describes it as "lncRNA (ENSCLMG00005002904.1)". Lineage: Eukaryota; Metazoa; Chordata; Actinopteri; Perciformes; Cyclopteridae. The record is from RNAcentral.